RNAcentral lists this long non-coding RNA (231 nucleotides) under Ricinus communis (castor bean). RNAcentral's name for it is "long non-coding RNA (RCOM_LNC002111)". Lineage: Eukaryota; Viridiplantae; Streptophyta; Magnoliopsida; Malpighiales; Euphorbiaceae. The record is from RNAcentral.
AAAGCUAGCGAGAAACUGGCUACAAAUAGCAAGAAAUUAUUUGAUAACGAAUUCAAAUACUUAGUUAGUGUGGCGAGAAUGUAUUUUUGGACUGAAUUUAGUGACAGAUACAGGUCCAUUACUAAUUCGUUGAACUUCUUAUAAGCAAAACACAUCGUUUUAUUAAAUCCUAAUUAGCAACGGAUUGAUUCGCCGCUAGUCUGCUGCUAAUAUGGAAUAAGAAUAUCCAGC